This 216-nucleotide unclassified non-coding RNA is filed under the name soil metagenome. Its description in RNAcentral is "partial contains 5.8S ribosomal RNA, internal transcribed spacer 2, and large subunit ribosomal RNA". The record is from RNAcentral.
AACCAUAGAAACCUGCGGAGUACCUGCGGAAGGAUCAUUACCGAGUUUACAACUCCCAAACCCAUGUGAACAUACCUAUCGUUGCUUCGGCGGAUCGCCCCGGGCGCCUUGCGUGCCCCGGAUCCAGGCGGCCGCCGGGGGACCUUAACUCUUGUUUUUACUGAGAAUCUUCUGAGUCGUUUUUACAAAUAAAUAAAAACUUUCAACAACGGAUCU